This 330-nucleotide long non-coding RNA is filed under the name Gossypium barbadense (sea-island cotton). RNAcentral's name for it is "long non-coding RNA (GBAR_LNC019653)". Lineage: Eukaryota; Viridiplantae; Streptophyta; Magnoliopsida; Malvales; Malvaceae. The record is from RNAcentral.
UUACCCUUCAUCAUUGCUUCGAAAGUCCAUAUCCUCAAUUAUUGCCGAGAUCUGUCUUUCACAAGCAUCACUAGUCUCAAGGAAUUGCUUCUGAUUUUCAGAAAUGGCUGUAGUUUCUAAAAGUUUGUGGGUAAAUCUAAUGCCAUUCAAAGGAUUUUUCAUCUCUUGUCGCAUGUACACUAAGUGUUUAAGUUUCGUAAACAACUCUUUGUCUUCUUGCUUGUGUUCUUCACUAGCUUGCUGCAUGUCAGGCACAAUAACCUGUAAGAAGCAGAAGCAACCAAUUAUGUUCCCAUCAGCAGCAGUCCGCUUGUUUGCCACUAUGUAAAC